AGUGAACGCUGGCGGUAGGCCUAACACAUGCAAGUCGAACGGCAGCACAGUAAGAGCUUGCUCUUACGGGUGGCGAGUGGCGGACGGGUGAGGAAUACAUCGGAAUCUACUUUUUCGUGGGGGAUAACGUAGGGAAACUUACGCUAAUACCGCAUACGACCUACGGGUGAAAGCAGGGGAUCUUCGGACCUUGCGCGAUUGAAUGAGCCGAUGUCGGAUUAGCUAGUUGGCGGGGUAAAGGCCCACCAAGGCGACGAUCCGUAGCUGGUCUGAGAGGAUGAUCAGCCACACUGGAACUGAGAAACGGUCCAGACUCCUACGGGAGGCAGCAGUGGGGAAUAUUGGAAAAUGGGCGCAAGCCUGAUCCAGCCAUACCGCGUGGGUGAAGAAGGCCUUCGGGUUGUAAAGCCCUUUUGUUGGGAAAGAAAAGCAGCAGGUUAAUACCCCGCUGUUCUGACGGUACCCAAAGAAUAAGCACCGGCUAACUGCGU
RNAcentral lists this ribosomal RNA (491 nucleotides) under uncultured bacterium. RNAcentral's name for it is "partial 16S ribosomal RNA". It matches the Rfam family "Bacterial small subunit ribosomal RNA", at positions 29 to 506 of the family's 1533-position model. The record is from RNAcentral.